AUCCGCGUGGCUCUCAUGCUUUUCUUCUCAUUCUUGGCCUGUUCUUGGUUUUGGGAACACCGCUUCAAUUCCUCAUUCUUCUUCUUAGCUUUCUCUGGCCGGUGGCGGUCAGCAAUUUUCUCUCAUUCUCGGUCAGCAACUUUCUGCUCACAAUUUUGGCAGUCACCGAUUCCUAGCGGUCAGUGGGCGGUGGGGGACGAUUUUGCUAGCCAGAAAUUUCUGCUCACAAUAUUGGCACUCACCGAUUCUUAGCGUAUAUUCUCGAAAAGUUGAAACUUGUUGAAGAAAGGCAAAUGGAAGGAAGGGACUCACUUUGUUAUCUUUGAACAGGUUUAUAUCAAUCAGUUUGCAUUACAAUUGUCAAAGGAAUUUAGCUUCUUAGAUUCCAGUUGGGAAGAAAGACUUUGGAUAGUGGACGUCGAUUUUAGUGCUGAACCACUAUAAAUCUUCUUUUUAAUUUUACUGCAUUUUGUUUACAGUUUGUUUCUAUUAACUUAUCUUCUUUUAGCUUUAUAAUUGUUUGGUUGAGUUGGGACAGGUUAAUCUGUCCGAAGAAUUACUAUCAUUUCCCAUAUCAAUCUAUUUCCCAUUAGGUUGGCCUAUGUGGGAGAACAAUACACACACA
Molecule: long non-coding RNA, 625 nt
Organism: Coffea arabica (coffee)
Lineage: Eukaryota; Viridiplantae; Streptophyta; Magnoliopsida; Gentianales; Rubiaceae
Source: RefSeq, a predicted model, not a curated record